RNAcentral lists this long non-coding RNA (1380 nucleotides) under Macaca fascicularis (crab-eating macaque). Its description in RNAcentral is "lncRNA (ENSMFAG00000054980.1)". The record is from RNAcentral. Lineage: Eukaryota; Metazoa; Chordata; Mammalia; Primates; Cercopithecidae.
CAUAUUCCAUUCUACACGGAUCAGAUCAAGCUAGUUUUACUCUAUGAUUAUCCAGUGAUAAAAAUACAACCUGAUAUACUGCACGGAGAAUAAAAUUCAAACUCCUUGGUCCUAGUGAUCUGGCCCAUGCCACCUUUUCCAACCCCAUUUCACACCACUUGCUAUACUUGCCAUGCUGUGUGUAUUUCUGUCCCUCAACACACCAAGCUCGUGCUAUCCAUUCUCCUUAGGACUUUGCGUAACUGACCCCUUCUCUUCAUUCAGGUCUCAGAUCAAAUAUCACCACCUCGAAGUAGAGGCCUUCCAGAUGACCAUUUGUAAAGUAGUCCCUCCUAUCACCAUCUAUCAAAUUAUUCAAUUUUAUUUUCUUAAUAACUAGCUAAAAACAAUUUAUUUGCUUUUGAUGUUUUCUAGUUUGUUAUCUGACUCCCUCAGAAGAAUAUACUUUCCACACAAACGUUACCUGUCUUAUUUUCCUAAUAUCCCCAAGCAUAGAACCAUGUCUGGCACACAGUGGUGCUUAUUAGAAUAUUUGUUAAGUAAAGGAAUGUAUAAGAAUCUUCAUUGUGAUGUUGUUUAUCAUAUCCCAAAAAAACCCAAAAUAGUAUGAAUGUCCAUCAGUGAGAAAUGGUUAAAUAAAUGAAGGUACAUAAUGUGGAAAUUUCUAUGGUCAUUAAAAAUUGAGACGGGCCGGGCGUGGUGGCUCAAGCCUGUAAUCCCAGCACUUUGGGAGGCCGAAGCAGGCGGAUCAUGAGGUCAGGAGAUCGAGACCAUCCUGGCUAACACGGUAAAACCCUGUCUCUACUAAAAAAUACAAAAAAACUAGUCGGGCGAGGUGGCGGGCGCCUGUAGUCCCAGCUACUCGGGAGGCUGAGGCAGGAGAAUGGUGUGAACCCGGGGGGCGGAGCUUGCAGUGAGCCGAGAUCAUGCCACUGCACUCCAGCCUGGGCAACAGACAGAGACUCCGUCUGAAAAAAAAAAAAGUUGAGAUGACCCAUUAAGAAGCAAGAAUGUUUUCAAGGUAUGGUUGAUUUUCUAAAAGCAAGGUGUGGAACAAUAAGUAUGCUAUAAUUCAAGAUUUGUAAGAUAUCAAAAAUACAUGUAUACGUUAAUGUUUUGGACUAUCCCAUGUAAGGGUGAAAGGGAGGGCUCCCCUUGGCCCUCUGAGGAUUUGCUGAAAUACCAACUGGCAAAAGGCAGGUUAAUUGGAGAAAAGGCAUACAAAUUUAUUUAAUGUGCAUACACAGGGGACUUCAGGAUGAAGAACAAGGAUACAGGGGGAAAUUGUCCAUUUUUAUGUUUAGGUUCAACAAAGUAUGAACAGCCAUAUAGAAAUAGGAUUAGACAAAAGAAAAAAAAAAGAAAAGAAAAGAAAAAAAA